GGAGGAAUGACACACCUAUUGAGACUCUUGGAAAGAUCUGAAGGAAGGAAAAAUUCUAAAGAAAUUCCUUGAGGGCUAAUGAGAGGAAAUCCAAGGAUAAAAUUUUUCCUAUUCCCAGUUUUGUCUUGACAAGACCUGCUCAUGGGAUGGCUGUAUAAGGAACAAAUAAAAUAACAGAAGUGAAAAUAAGUUGCUUCUAGGGUAAAAGCACUCAUGGGAGUCACCCAGAUGCCAGAUGCCACCAUAACCAUCCCAGCUUGAUGCUCUGGACACGGCCUACAGUCAAUACCUCUCUCUCUCUCCUAACGUUAGUCAGGGACAACUCUACACCCAUUCUCGGCUGUGAAGAAGUUACAGAAGAAGGCAGGUGCCACAUCUCUGUGGAUUUUUUGCUGUGAAUUGUUGAAUGAGACCAUGGGACCAUCAAUCUGGAUUGAGGGGCAGUACCAAUCCCUUCAGAUUUGCAUCAACUACUGACAUUCUCAGAAAUUGCAUCCUUGAGAAACAUCAAGAAAGUAGAAAACUGCACCAAUUCACAAUAACACAUGCUACAACUAUUCUGACACUUACUUCUACAAACAAACUUCAGGUCUUCUUUAAGGUAAGUGCCAUAAUUAAUGCAUAUUUUGUAUUUAUUUAUUUAAUUUAGAAUAUUUUCCCAUGGUUACAUGAUUCGUGUUCUUUCCCUCCUCUCCUCCCAUUCCCUUCCGGUAGCCAAGGAGCAAUUACACUGGGUUUUACAUGUGUCAUUGAUCAAGACCUAUUUCCAUAUUAUUAAUAUUUGCAAAAGAAUGAUCAUUUAGAGUCUAUAUCCCCAGACAUAUCCCCUUUGAGCCUUGUGAUCAAGCAGUUGUUUUUCUC
Monodelphis domestica (gray short-tailed opossum) is the source of this 861-nucleotide long non-coding RNA. RefSeq lists it as uncharacterized. The record is from RefSeq and is a predicted model, not a curated record. Lineage: Eukaryota; Metazoa; Chordata; Mammalia; Didelphimorphia; Didelphidae.